RNAcentral lists this ribosomal RNA (228 nucleotides) under uncultured bacterium. Its description in RNAcentral is "partial 16S ribosomal RNA". It matches the Rfam family "Bacterial small subunit ribosomal RNA", at positions 15 to 223 of the family's 1533-position model. The record is from RNAcentral.
GAUCCUGGCUCAGGAUGAACGCUGGCGGCGUGCCUAACACAUGCAAGUCGAACGGAGUCGUUUUGGAAAAUCCCUCGAGAUUGGAAUUCUCGACUUAGUGGCGGACGGGUGAGUAACGCGUGAGCAAUCUGCCUUUAAGAGGGGGGAUAACAGUCGGAAACGGCUGCUAAUACCGCAUAAAGCAUCGAAACCGCAUGAUUUUGAUGCCAAAGGAGCAAUCCGCUUUUA